GAUGAACGCUAGCGGCAGGCUUAACACAUGCAAGUCGAGGGGCAGCAUGGGGAGUAGCAAUACUCUCUGAUGGCGACCGGCGCAAGGGUGCGUAACGCGUGAGCAACUUGCCCUCAUCAGGGGAAUAAUCGCUGGAAACGGCGUCUAAUGCCCCAUGGUGAUGGUUCCAGGCAUCUGGUUCCAUCUAAAGAUCCGUCGGAUGAGGAUAGGCUCGCGUGACAUUAGCUUGACGGCGGGGUAACGGCCCACCGUGGCGACGAUGUCUAGGGGUUCUGAGAGGAAGGCCCCCCACACUGGUACUGAGACACGGACCAG
Molecule: ribosomal RNA, 315 nt
Filed under: uncultured bacterium
Lineage: Bacteria
Description: bacterial SSU rRNA
Rfam family: Bacterial small subunit ribosomal RNA
Source: RNAcentral